This 97-nucleotide ribosomal RNA is filed under the name Salvator merianae (Argentine black and white tegu). The record is from RNAcentral. Lineage: Eukaryota; Metazoa; Chordata; Lepidosauria; Squamata; Teiidae.
UUAGCUGACCUUGGCUGAUCUCAAAGAGCUAAGUAGAGUUGGAUCCUGCUAGUACUUGGAUGAGAGACCAGCAGAGAAUCCCGGGUUGUAGGCUGAA